UUCCAAAGGGCAUGCCUGUUCGAGCGUCAUUUGUACCCUCAAGCUUUGCUUGGUGUUGGGCGUUUUGUCUUUGCUCGCCAAAGACUCGCCUUAAAACGAUUGGCAGCCGACCUCUUGGUUUCGCAGCGCAGCACAAUUUUGCGCUUGCAAAUCAGCAAGUUGGCACUCCAUCAAGAACAUUUUCUUACGUUUGACCUCGGAUCAG
Molecule: unclassified non-coding RNA, 205 nt
Filed under: Curvularia pallescens
Lineage: Eukaryota; Fungi; Ascomycota; Dothideomycetes; Pleosporales; Pleosporaceae
Description: Cochliobolus pallescens partial contains 5.8S rRNA, ITS2 and 28S rRNA
Source: RNAcentral